UACGAAGGCAGCAGUGGGGAAUAUUGCACAAUGGGCGAAAGCCUGAUGCAGCUAUGCCGCGUGUAUGAAGAAGGCCUUAGGGUUGUAAAGUACUUUCAUCGGGGAGGAAAAAACAAAACUAAUAAUUUUAUUUCUUGACGUUACCCGAAAAAGAAGCACCGGCUAACUCCGUGCCAGCAGCCGCGGUAAUACGGAGGGUGCUAGCGUUAAUCAGAAUUACUGGGCGUAAAGAGCACGUAGGCGGUUUUUUUAAGUCAGAUGUGAAAUCCCUGGGCUUAACCUAGGAACUGCAUUUUGAAACUGAAAUACUAGAGUAUCGUAGAGGGAGGUAGAAUUCUAGGUGUAGCGGUGAAAUGCGUAGAUAUCUGGAGGAAUACCUGUGGCGAAAGCGGCCUCCUAAACGAAUACUGACACUGAGGGUGCGAAAGCGUGGGGAGCAAACGAGGAGUUAGAUACC
RNAcentral lists this ribosomal RNA (457 nucleotides) under uncultured bacterium. RNAcentral's name for it is "bacterial SSU rRNA". It matches the Rfam family "Bacterial small subunit ribosomal RNA", at positions 340 to 786 of the family's 1533-position model. The record is from RNAcentral.